UAUACAUGUGUAUCUCUAUGGCUAUAUGUAAUUUAGGGUGUUAUUAUAUUUGUUGUUUGUAUGAGAGUGUAAUAAAAUGAUCCAUAUAUGUAUGGUGCUUUUGUUCACAUUCUAUUUCGUGUGUUGUUUAUUAGUUGUAUAAUUGUGUUGUGGAAGUGUUUUUGAUCUAGUAAUAUGAAGAAAAAAAAAAAAAAAAAAAAAAAAAAGACAUAG
RNAcentral lists this long non-coding RNA (213 nucleotides) under Helianthus annuus (common sunflower). RNAcentral describes it as "hypothetical non coding rna". The record is from RNAcentral. Lineage: Eukaryota; Viridiplantae; Streptophyta; Magnoliopsida; Asterales; Asteraceae.